This 301-nucleotide ribosomal RNA is filed under the name uncultured bacterium. Its description in RNAcentral is "bacterial SSU rRNA". It matches the Rfam family "Bacterial small subunit ribosomal RNA", at positions 30 to 334 of the family's 1533-position model. The record is from RNAcentral.
AUUGAACGCUGGCGGCAGGCUUAACACAUGCAAGUCGAGCGCGAAAGCACUUCGGUGUGAGUAGAGCGGCGGACGGGUGAGUAACGCGUAGGAAUCUACCUGGUAGUGGGGGACAACUUGUGGAAACGCAAGCUAAUACCGCAUACGACCUAAGGGUGAAAGUGGGGGACCUUCGGGCCUCACGCUAUCAGAUGAGCCUGCGUAGGAUUAGCUUGUUGGUGAGGUAAAGGCUCACCAAGGCGACGAUCCUUAGCUGGUCUGAGAGGAUGAUCAGCCACACUGGAACUGAGACACGGUCCAG